Molecule: unclassified non-coding RNA, 337 nt
Filed under: Hevea brasiliensis (rubber tree)
Lineage: Eukaryota; Viridiplantae; Streptophyta; Magnoliopsida; Malpighiales; Euphorbiaceae
Source: RNAcentral
CCGCAAGGCUCGUUUCAGAUGUUGCAUGAGCAUACCAAUGACAGUGGACUGAUUUCCUGAAGGGGAAAGAAACAUAAUAAUAAUAAUAGGACAUAAGAAUGGAGAGAGAAGAAAAAAAUGGAAAAGGAAAGGGAGGCUGGAGGAGGUGAUUACUGAUGUCUUUUCAGCAUUGUGUAUUUAUCAGGUUUAAUUUCCUUAUUAAAAUAGAGAAAGAAAAAAUAUGACGAGAAAGUGUUCAUUCCUUGUCUAGUUGCUUCUCCCUUUUCCUCGUCUUCUUUAUGUCUUCUGAUAUCUCUUAUUGAUCCUUUUUUUUUUCGGCUUAUAUUUAUCAUGCAAG